GAUGAAGAACGUAGCGAAAUGCGAUAAGUAAUGUGAAUUGCAGAAUUCAGUGAAUCAUCGAAUCUUUGAACGCACAUUGCGCCCGCUGGUAUUCCGGCGGGCAUGCCUGUUCGAGCGUCAUUUCAACCCUCAAGCUCUCCGGAGUUUGGUGUUGGGGCGCCUGGGGCUUUUCGACCUCAGGGCCCUCAAGUCCAUCGGCGGGACCGCCAGGGCACUGAGCGCAGUAGUAUUAUUUCGCUCGGUAGGAUCUUCCACGGCGGGUCGAUCUGGCCGCUAAACCCCCCAAUUCUCACCAAAGGUUGACCUCGGAUCAGGUAGGAAUACCCGCUGAACUUAAGCAUAUCAAUAAGCGGAGGA
Molecule: unclassified non-coding RNA, 357 nt
Filed under: soil metagenome
Description: partial contains 5.8S ribosomal RNA, internal transcribed spacer 2, and large subunit ribosomal RNA
Rfam family: 5.8S ribosomal RNA (bases 1-120)
Source: RNAcentral